Onychostoma macrolepis is the source of this 716-nucleotide long non-coding RNA. RefSeq lists it as uncharacterized. Lineage: Eukaryota; Metazoa; Chordata; Actinopteri; Cypriniformes; Cyprinidae. The record is from RefSeq and is a predicted model, not a curated record. The transcript has 5 exons.
GGUAUUUUCAGGAAUGCAGCCAGAUUGUUGACCAGAUUUGCCCCGAAGAACUCCUCCUCAGUCAUGGCCGGGAGAUUGAAGGCCAGGAACAGAACCGGAGAGGUGCGGAUUUGGACCGGCUCCGAGCCACGAAGUAGUCCAGCAUUUAGCAGCAUAAGUCUCAGCUUCUGUGGUGUUGUGCUGGUGAAAUAGAUGUCAAAGGAUUUAUUGGUGGCAACAAUGGCGUGGAAUAGAGAUACUCGCUUCUGACACGUGUAGCCAGCGCACCAGCCGUGAUCUUGCGGGCCUGUGACAAAAUAUUCAGACGAAGCUACCACUGCAUCUGUACCUUCUCCAACCGUGUGAUGGAUCACGUUGUCUUCGAUACUCAGUCCAUCUGUCCCGAAAACACCGAUAGCAGGAGCAAAGCCGUUGUGGAAAGCACAUCCCUUGAUUUAUAAAACACCAGAGAGUAUCGUGGGUCUGACAGGUCGUUCCAUCCCUCCUGCCCGGUGUGGUAGAACUGAACAUUUCUGAUCUGGGCUUUUCCUGUGACGCAAGUAUCAUCAGAAGUUUUUGUUACUUACAAUGUGCUGGAAAGGUGAAUGGGCCUUAUGGUUUUGUGUAGCCUAUAAUUUGUAGUAUUUGUAGUACUUGAUAGUAUUUCAAGAAUGAGGCCCAACAUAAGAAUUUUAUAACGUCUAUACCUCUGAAAUCAAAUCCUCCGCUGAAGAAGG